GAUGAAGAACGCAGCGAAAUGCGAUACUUGGUGUGAAUUGCAGAAUCCCGUGAACCAUCGAGUCUUUGAACGCAAGUUGCGCCCGAAGCCAUUAGGCCGAGGGCACGCCUGCCUGGGCGUCACACGUCGUUGCCCCCCCAUCUACUCCUUCGGGAUUGCGGGGGGCGGAUGAUGGCCUCCCGUGCGCCUCGUCGCGCGGUUGGCAUAAAUGCCAAGUCCUCGGCGACGCACGCCACGCCAAUCGGUGGUUGCGAAACCUCGGUUGCCCGUCGUGUGCGGUCGUCGCGCAUCGAGGGCUCGAAAAAAUUGCCGGGCUCCGGCUCGGCUUUCAACGCGACCCCAGGUCAGGCGGGGUUACCCGCUGAAUUUAAGCAUAUCAAUAAGCGGAGGA
Molecule: unclassified non-coding RNA, 391 nt
Filed under: soil metagenome
Description: partial contains 5.8S ribosomal RNA, internal transcribed spacer 2, and large subunit ribosomal RNA
Rfam family: 5.8S ribosomal RNA (bases 1-122)
Source: RNAcentral